GAUUAACGCUGGCGGCGUGCAUAACACAUGCAAGUCGAACGAAGUGGCGGACGGGUGAGUAACGCGUGAGUAACCUGCCUUACACAAGGGGAUAGCCGUUGUAAACGACGAAUACUACCCUAUGGUGUAAGAUGGUCUCGCGUCUGAUUAGCUAGUUGGUGCGGUAAUGGCCCACCCAGGCAACGAUCAGUAGCCGGCUUGAGAGAGUGUACGGCAACAGUGGGACUGAGACAAGGCCCAGACUCGACGGGAGGCAGCAGUGGGGAAUUUUGCACAAUGGGGGAAAGCAUGAUGCAGCGACGCCGCGUGAUUUAGAAAGCCGUCGGGUUGUAAAAAUCUUUUGUAUGGGAAGCAGUACCAUACGAAUAAGGACCGGCUAAUUACGUGCCAGCCGCCGCGGUAAUUC
Molecule: ribosomal RNA, 406 nt
Filed under: uncultured bacterium
Lineage: Bacteria
Description: partial 16S ribosomal RNA
Rfam family: Bacterial small subunit ribosomal RNA
Source: RNAcentral